Suricata suricatta (meerkat) is the source of this 729-nucleotide long non-coding RNA. RefSeq lists it as uncharacterized. NCBI's taxonomy places the organism in Eukaryota, Metazoa, Chordata, Mammalia, Carnivora, Herpestidae. The transcript is spliced from 3 exons. The record is from RefSeq and is a predicted model, not a curated record.
GUAGGAUUACCCUCUGUUGGAAUUUGUCUAAUAUUUUCCUCAUAGUUAGACUGAGGUUAUGGGUUUGAGGGAAGAACACAAAGUCAAAGUGCCAUUUCACCACAUCGUAUCAUGGUCACUAUUCCAUCAAAAUAAUGUAUGACUGCUGAUGUUGGUCUUCAUCACUCUGCUGAUGCCAUUUUUGUCAAGAUUCUCUGCUGUAAAAUUCCUGAUGUUUCUCUCUUUCCAUAUUGAUUCUUUGAAAGGAGCACAGUUUCAAGAGAUUUAAUGAUCAUCUCCGUUGAAGACUGCUCAAAGAUCCCCCUUGCAUCAUGGCGUUCUUCAUGUAUAAAUAUUUAUAAACUAUGCAUUUUAAAUAGACCACUUGUUUUAAACUAGGAUGAACUGCCAGUGAAUAUUUCAUCACUAACAUCACCAACAUGGACAGACGAAAUAGAUCUUAGGGACAAUGCCGAAGACACUGUAGAAGAAAUAGUUUAGUAGUGUUUAUAAUUGAAUGGGUGUCAACUCAAAGAGUUGGAAGGUGAAUCACAAUAAAUUAGCCUGUACUGGAAGUCUAAGUGGAAAAGAAUUGGCAGGUAAUAAUUUAGCAGAAAUUACCUGUCUCAACGUGAAUUCCAUUCCAAAAAGAUUCCAGUUCUUCCCACCCACUGUCCAUUUGGGAUGUCUUUAGAAAAGACAGAGGGUGUGAAAUCUAAAGCAGUUCAUUUAGUUUCUUCAUAAGAAGUU